CAGGUUCCGAGGAAAAGUAAAUGCCUAGCUACACUCUUAUCAAUAAGUACCAGCAAAAAUUGAAGUUCAGGCUGGCUGUUCUUAAAUUUUUCAAAUCCUUGAGGCUUGAAUGCUCAUUAUUUGCAGGCACGUAAACAAUAGGGGGCGUGGGUGCGUGACGGCCCCCCCCCAACGGUUGGAAAAUCCAAUUGCAGUUGGAAAACUUGAAAAAUUCACUUGGAAAUUUUUCUAACUAUUAUGACCAAAUAUGUGAAUUUUAUAGCUUAGGAUUUUGGGAUUUUAAAUGUAAAAAUCUUAGACCUUAUUGAAAUUCAAACUCUGGAGCAGACACAUCUUCUAAUCGUUUUUAAUUGUGAAGCCCUGUCUCCACUGGAUCUCAAAUUGCACCAUUGCAUCGUUUGUUUCCUUUUUGAUAGGAGUUAAGUUUGAUUAAAUUAUUCUGAACAGGCAAGGUGAACGUCUGGAAAAGAAGUUUAAAUUUUACCAUCAGUAUUGUUUGAGCCUGAAGUUUUGAGAAAUCAUUCCUUGUAUUGAUCAGAACAAUUGAAAGUGGGAAUUUUUUAAGAAACAACUAGUAGCCGAUUCAAUUGAAAACAUUAAAAAUCUUUCAUUGCUAGAAAUUCGCAACGCUUCUUAACGGGUGUAUGCUCAGCUCCCCCUGCACUUUGUAGACCUCCUUGAAUCUAAUUAUAAAUUGCUAUGAUAAAGCUAAUGAAAAGCCACAAAACAUUGAUCAAAGAAGCUGCAGCAGAAGUAUUUGAUCAAAGAAGAGUGCUCUAUCUUACGAAUCGGGCAUAUGCACUUGCCCUCAGAUCACCCUUUUCAGUUCCAAAAAACAAAGGACAUUUCGUCCUUUGAAAAUUGUAAAAAUUUUCCUUCGAUCAAGAACAAAAGAUAAAAUGGUCAAUUCCUUGAUGCUUCUAUAUAAAACUGAUCUGCAGCAAUUAGCUUUAAGAUGGGCAAAGCAGAAAAUGAAUAGAAUUGCUGUUAACUGACUUGAAAGAAUAUUACUUUUUAUCAUUAAACAUAUCCAAGAUCUAGAAUGGUAUGGCUUUGAUGUUGCUUUAUAUCUUACGAAAAGAUUAAAUGUUCAUGUUACGUUGAUCAAAAUUUAGAGAUUUCCUUUAUCUUCUUUAAUGAUUUUAUGAUUAAGACUAAUUAUUUUAAGUAAAAUGUUUGAAAUUAUACAGAACCUAGAAAUCUGGAAUAAGUCAUAAGGCUAUCUCCAAAUCAAUUUGGUAGGUACAGAAGAUUAACAGGGAAAGUUGGAAUUUUCAACCUUCCACGACCCCCAAAAUUAGCCACUUGUUUACGUCCCUGAUUAUUUGUUCUUAGAUUGUUAGGAUGUUAGCAGGAAAAUCGCUAGCUAUUGCCCUCAAUGGGUGUGUUCAGGCCCCAUUUGCCAACAAAACGAGUGAAUCAUAUUUCAUUUGCCGACGGGAUUGUAAAUUCGCCGACAAAGCACGCCUAGAUGACGAAAACUCCUCGUUUUGAGAUAUAACUUUUUUAAAGGAGAUUCAUAAUUUUGUUCAAAAAUUAGAUUUUACGGAACCUUAGCCUCGGCUUGUUAGGGUUAAUUAGAAAUUUUUUUGGAAAAAAUUGCGGUCUGACAAAAAUGCAUUUAAUUAACAAAGAAAUGGAAAAAGCGUAGCUGAUAAACCUUGCAUUGUGAUUAGAAGAAAACAGGUUUACGGGACGAUUAAUAACAGGAAAAAGUUUACAGGAUGAGUACACACAGAAAAACAUUUCCAGGAAGACUAGUCAUAGGAAAAAGGUUUCCAGUAUGAGUAAUUACUUGAAAUAACAAGACGCAUUUAAGGGGCUUCCUGUCUAGAUCAGAAAUUUCUUGCUUAAAAGUAUGGACCCUAGGCGACUUCACGGGUUCAUUUUUAACUGCUUAGUUGUUACGCCGUUUAGACCAUAGUUACGGUACUAAUGAAGCCUCGAUACUAAUCCAGCCUCCUUAUGUGCCUUUGUUGAAGUCAUGCCUCAAAACUAUAAAAAACGUAAGAUAGACUGACUGGAAAUGCUAAUACCAAUUUUAAGCUCGAGGGCUCUCCUGUUGUAUAAUGAUUCAAAUAUGCAAACUACGUUCGAUAGCAUACGAUCUCCACAUAUUGUGGUUAGACAAGAGUGCUGGUAAAUCUGAAAACACCCAGCGUAGUUAAAAUCACAAAUCAGUUUAAUUGUAUCGUAUACCGCAUUCCGUUUCCCUUUUUUUGUCCAUACCGCGAAGAGGAAAUCCACCUUAACAGGUAAUAGAUUGGGUGUGGUAAGGGUGUGGUGACGGGUGUAGGCUUUUGAAUUUGCCUACAGCACAACCAUUUCCCUAACAUUUUAGGACGGCAUGAAAAUGAGGAAGUGUCAUCCCACAAGCUAUUGUAUGGUACGAACAUUUGUGCUUUUUAUGGCAGUAAGCUACAGUGUACUUAAAUCGAAAGACGAAGAAAAUUUUUUUCAGAAAAGGUGCCAUGAGAAGGAAACUCUGGUUUCUACGAUGCAAUAUUGAUAUAUAAUAGUUUCGAUUAAAUGCCGAAGCGCCAUGAAAUUGUCAUAAUUUUCUUAAGUAUAGGUAGGCCAAUUUGUUAGACACCCGUUAGCCCCAGCAUUGUUUAGACCUAGUCAUAGGUUACUCAUUCUCGACCCUAAACUCGUACAACUGUCCCAAACAGCGAACAAAACUUUUUUGAAAAAAAAAUUUCCUACAGAAAAGAUCGUACGACAUUUCGGUAUCUUCGUGGAGUGAUAUAAGCCUCUGUUCUUGAUAGAGGCUGGGGAUAAAAUGUGGAGGUGUUAGAUAAACUAGGGCUGUAGAAAAUAGUCCAGUCCUUCUGGAAUAGUCAGAUUGUAUGCCCCAUAAAAAAAUUACAACAUAUGAUUUUUAAACAACAUGUAUCGAAAGGAUUUUUCCGGUUUCUGAAUUCAAACCAUUCCAUUACAUCAUGCCUCUCAGCCGCAGCACGAACAGUAUCAAAGAAUUCAUCGCCAUUGUUCGAAACAGCACACUUUGUUAUGACAUGAUUCAGCUCACAAAGAAACCCAAUGCAAAAAGAAAAAACAUCACUCCAAAUGAAAUCAUCGAAACCAGCAGAAGCAGAUAUUUAUCGUUAAGGUGGACACAGGUAACAGACAACGUAGAUUCAAAGAAAACUUCCAAGAAGCACAAAGAUUCAUGGUAAAACCUUUCAAGUUCAAGUCACUUAGCAAUGACAAGUCACACCAAUUAUACAUCCACUAACAAAAGCUCAACUCACUUCACUGCAGCAAACCUGACGUGCUAUACAUCAAUCGCAUGGAGAAUUUUUUUAUCAAAUAACCAGCAUCUUGCUAUCGCUAUAGCAUACAGUCUCACAAUCUUGCCUGUUGCAUUAUUCAACGGGGCAUUGAGCCUAGCUCUUUACAAAACAGAACAGUGGAAAUCGAAAAUGAAGUUUCUAAUAUUUGUUUUGAGUUUAUCUGAUACUUUCACUGGGAUGGUUCAAAUACCAGCAGCCAUAAUUCUAGUAACAAGGCUGAAAUACACACGCUGCUGCUGGUUCGAGAUGGCGACUACAUUUACCAGUGUAACAAAUGUUCAUUUCUCGUACUACUUAUUGAUGGCUAUUGCAUUUCAAAGAUAUCUUAAGAUAACUGGCACAAUCAAAAUGCAGCCACAAUUAGGUCGCAUUUUCCUGUCCAAUAAAGGUACCCGAAUUACAGCAAUGCUCCUGUUUCCUCUUGCAAUACUACAUGGCCUUGUGGCAACCUAUUUCUUCGGUCACACGAAGUCAAACAUACCAAACAUGACUAUGAUGUGCCCUCGCAUUUUUACCUUUGCCGUAGUGUUUGCAGUUUACUUUCGACUUAACAUUACACUCAAAAAAGAGAGAAAGAGGGCACUACAGCAUGGCUUUAACAACAGAACACACACAAGAGCUUUCAAAAUAAUUGUCCUGGUACUCUUCAUUUACACGCUGUCCUACCUUCCGGCACUAGCAACUGACACAUGGACGGCCUAUUACUCUUACUUUCUCAAGUCAGCUGGACCCAUCGAAAUACGAUUUGUAUACUUUCUUUCGUUUAGUUUCGCAUAUUUGAAUUGCGCUUUGAACGCUAUAAUAUUUACUUAUACAGAUGAAACGGCAUGUAGAUACAUAUUUGAAUUAAUUCCAAAGUGUGAUCUUGAAGGACUAGAUAGAAAUCACCAACGCAGACCAAUUUCUCUAGAAAUGGAAUCAUAAUUUUUCAAAAGAUCCUGCGCUGGCUUUUAGCCCCGUGGUGCUGAGGUGAAGUUUAACAUAAAACUGUAUUCCCAUUUCCUUUAUUUUCAUUGUAGGAUCUGGUACUUCGAAUUGAGUGAUAGACAGGCAUCAUAAUUGAUACGAUCAAUCAUAUUUUCAAUAACUGCAUUCAAAAUGGCGUCUUUCCGGAUCUAUUUAAACUAGCAGAUGUCACUUCCCUUCACAAAUCGGAGGAGAAAACUAGUAAAAAAAUUACAGACCGUCCGACAAAUUCUGUAGCAGCCUAGUUUAUUCAGAAGAAUACAAUGGUCAACAGAAUCGAAGGCCAUGGCCAGGUCUGAAAAGAAAGCUCCUACAUAAUAGCAGUGACCAAGUUCUUCAUGAAUGUAACCAGAGACAUCACUUACAGUUGUUGCUGUCGAGUGAGAUUUCAGAAAGCCAGGUAUGUAUGCCUUGAUGAGAUUCACCUUCCUUUAGUAGUUCUGUAGCUGCUCAUUUACAACUUGCUCCAAAAUCUUCAACAAGUCUAUCUACCCUAUUGAACAUCCAGGCAAUCGAAUAUGAAUCUAUAUUCAAAGCAUAUGGGACCACCUCGUCGUUUGGGAUUAGUUCCCACAUUUUUAAUAUACACAUGUCAGCCUCCGUCACCAAUAACUUUCUGAAACUUGAUUGCAUUUCAGAACUCAAUAGUUUUGGCUGUUCAGGAAAAAAAACUAAGAACUGUGACUGCUGUAGGCAAGGAAAUUGGAAUUAUAUCUACCAAGUCCGUACGUGCAAUCUGAGUUGAUUGGUUUGUAUAUACAUUUGAGAAACAAUUCAGAUCUGAUCAAAAUGAGCUUCGAUGUGACCGGAAUUAAUGACGCUAUAACUUCAAAAAUUGAGCCAGAGGACUCGUUCCUCGAUCUUGAUAAAAAUUAGGACUGUAUUCAUAUCCCCACGCCUUAGUGUUUUUUCGUGAUCACACUAAUAUGCUGUGUUAUGAAAAUCAAGAUAUUUUUCCGAAAUUUCUUAGCGUCUUCCCAUUUUGUCCGAAAUUUUUGUCCGAAAUUGUCUGAAGUCAAGAUUUUUUGGUCCAAAACUUUCUGUCCGGAAAUUAAAAGCCGAAAUUCAAUCAUCCGAAAUUUUUGGGGAAUAAACAGUCCCCAGUUCCGCCAGAUGAUACAGGCAUCCCGUGCUAAUCUCAAGGUCCUGUUCUUUACUACGGCAACCCUGUAUUUUGGCCCUGCUCAUAACUAUGACACUCUAUGUUUGGUCCUGCUUCACAAUGGGCUUUUGUAAAUUUAGUCCUGCUUCUACUAUAGUCUAGAACAAAGAGCUGUCCUGCUCAAUCUCGGGAGCAGGACCUCGUCGAAAUGAUCAUCAUAACAUGUCAUAAGCAGUAGUGACUUGGUUGGUUGAGAGUUACCUACAUAGGCAAAAGAGCAUUGUUUUGAAAAGCUUUGGUCUUGCUAUUUCUGAGAGCAGGACUGUGACCACUGCCCUGCCCUGUGUAUUCUCGUUCUGAUUAUGAGACAUUGAGAUGAGAGUACUAGCAGGGAGGCCAGUUCAAGCAUUUUGGCGAGGCGAUGUGAAUGUUUCCUGCUUGCUUAGGCGAUACCAAUGUUAUUAUUAUUGACAGCAAAACUUGCCUCAGUUGAGCUGCAUAAUGUUUAUUUGUAGCAAGAUAGAGUACAAAGUUCGCGAGAAAGAAAUGGUAAACAACAAGGAUUGGCUGUAUUAGGCACUGAUUCCGGCUUUCAAAAAGUAAGCACCCUAAAGCACGCCUUUAAGAAUGGGUUUGAUUUUCAGUUCAAAUUUAGAUAGAUAUCAGUUCAAAAUUUGCUUUUUACUGAAAUUAAGAAAAAAAUAAUCUGCAAAAAAGAUUUUUUUCAUGGACGUUUCCUAUUAAAUAAGGUCAUGGCCCUCUCCAUACAGCAGGACCAACUAUUUUUGGAUAGCUUCGCCACUGGUCCCAGGUUUCCCGGUCCUGAUCCUAAAUCUUGCCGUCCAUGCUCCUCCCUCAUUCAGGCUUAGCAUCUUGUUGUGUGGCUUCUGAUUUCAACCACUGCAUAUCUAUUAUGCUGAUCAAAUGAAAUCUUAUCAGAGUUAAUUUCACAAGGGAUGUCGUAGAAUUUGAUUUUGCUAGGGGUUCUUAUUUUAGCUUAUUUGUAUUAUUCUCAUUUGGGUGUCAAUUGUCAUGCUUCAAUUUGGUAUUUAAGUCCUUAUGCGCUUCUUUGAUGCUAUUGGGAAUAAUAGAGAAGAAGGAGUUCUGUAGUUUGGAUUUCGGCACAAAAGUGUGGGCCCCCUGACUCAGAUGGGUGUAUUUAAUUGCUUUGGGUCGGGAUUAUCGUGCUUACUUUGUGUGCUGUUUCCACGCUGUUCUCCCCUCCCUCCCUCCCCUUUUGAUAUUAAGCGUAAUGUGUUUCUUCAAAUCCUCAUUCAUUCUAAUGUAUUAGGCUAAGGCCUGUUUACAUCACGGUAUUCAUUUCAAAGUUCUUGUUAUUUUUCGUUUAGGAAAGACUAGGCUCUUAAUUCAGCCGUGUUUCUCUUCCUCUCUCAUAUCUUAGGUAGAAGAUGACGAAUGUUCCAGCAAACGAGGGAAAAAGAGGCAAUGGAUCAAAAGACGCGAGGAGAAGGGGUUUUAUAACUGUCAAAAUUUAAGGAUUUUUUUGAUGUACUCAAUUCAGGUGCAUCCUAUAACCAUUUUAUGGAAUCCUUGUUACCUCUAAUGUAUAUAAGAAGUAUGAUCUUUUUAAUAUUUCAUGUACAAAAGCUCAGUCGUGUGUUAUGUGACUUCAACUAUGACGUCAUUUUGUGUACUCUUGUCAUUAUGUCUUGAAUAAUUAUGACCUCAUAUCUAUUUUCGGAUAUCUUUUUAAAAAAAAGAUACAUCAUAACCUCUGCUAUGUCUAUGGUGAUUUUUGUCAACAUAUACCAAGGAGCAACUACUAUUUUAGAGUGGGGGGGGGGGGCUGAAUGAGCCCUUUAGCCUUCUAGCAGCUCGAAAAGCCCAGUCUGGAUAGGGUUAAACCAACAGGUAAGAAAUUAGCUGCAAAACCAUCAGUGGGUUUUUACAGUUUCAUUGCUGCAAAUAGUUUAGAAAUCCAAAGUUGCUGUGAUGCAUUCCACCUCCAUUGCUUGACUGGUUAUGGGAACUGUUGUAGUUUACAGGAAGAGCUGAAGCAACUCCACUUAUUUCUAUGUCGAAAAGGACAUCACAAAUUCUCUUCUCUGCAAUCACCCUUGUGCGAUCGUCAAACUUAUUCAGUUUUUCUGCUACAAACAAAGCAAAUGGACAUUCUUUCACGCAUCAUGUGACUGUUGUGGUGGUGGUUCACACAAGACAUUGAUGCACUGGACAUCUUUGGAGUCCCUUUUUGUGAGCUUGAAGAAGAGUGUGAAUUUUUAGAAAAUUGUGUGCUUGAGGAUGAAUCUUCACUUUCUUUGCUGGUCUUUUCUCUAUCGUUUUCUUGAAUUUCAACAUUUUGUGACUCCAGAUUGUAAGAUAAGGUAUCUUUGCUUUUUCCUGGCUGCAUAACUGGACACAAAAAUUGUAAAGGCCCCCAGUAGGGCCAGUUGGUGUUGUAAGGCUCGUCCCUUCCUUGUCCAGAUUUUGUUUUUGAGGACUUGGCAAUCCCUCUUCCUAGCUGUGCUCGCAAAACAGCAAUUUUUGAUCUAAUUUCCAUGACAGAAAUAUUCAUUGCCUCUGAGAUUUCUUCUAACGCUUUUCCGCGUUGGUCUCUCAAAUGGUAUGCUUGGUGAAAUACGUUCCACAAACAAGGACGAGCUUCCAGAUUUUCUAUUAAUCGUAAAAUUUCCUCAUGUUUCCAUGCUGUCUUCCGUGAUUGACCUGAAAUAUUUUUCAUCUCCUUAGUUACUGUCGUUUUCUCUACUUUCUUGCGUUGAUGUUCUUUUGGCAGGGUAAUUUCUUUAUCAGAAUCAGCAGCAUAAUCAUCAGUUGGCUCGUCUUCACUGCCAUUGAUUUUGGCUACUUUUUUUGGUGGAUGUAGUCCAAGACGGCCUAAGCCUGCCAUCCCUGAUCUUGAAAGCAACGAUUUUCUUUUCCCCAAAACUCUAUUCAUUUCCUCUACGGCCUCGUCGUACUCAUCUUCACUCACUAAAUCUCUUUCUUCGUACUUUUCCAUCAUCCAAUAUCCCUAAGUCUUCCAAAUCAAAAGGCUUUUCUCACAAUUUUGAUCUCUGCUUUACAAACUCAAACUUGGCGCGCAGCGCUAUUCACAUUUAUUAAUUCCUUACAGCGCUUGCGUGAAGCCAACAAAUGUUGGCCUACCCGGCCAAACGAGCCAGCAAUGCCCAACAACACCCAACAGCCGCCAACAUUUUUGACCAGUUUCAAAUCGAUCCAACAUUUCACCCAACAUCUUUCCCAACAAUGUUGGGUGAACCAACAUGGUGGCCAAACGACCCAACAUUUGAGCCAACAUGCGAAAAGAGCAUGUUGGCUGAAAUGUUGGGAGAAAUGUUGGCUCGUUUGGCCGGGGCUUUAGGUGAAGCAACUUGUGCCGAUGCACUAACGGCCUAACGUUGCUUCCUGUGAUGAGUGAAUGUAGCCUCAAGACCUGAUUUGAUGAGGGGUGUGGCAACGUCUUCUGAGGGAGCUUUUUUAUUUAAAUUGAUGGAAUGCAUUUCUCAAGCCGCACGAAUGAACAAUGAAUAAGAAUCCGUAUUGUUCGAACCAGCUCCUUUUGUAUCAACAUUAUCAUAUUUUGAAAAGAAAUUAAAUGAAAUAUGAAAAUCCACUUGACAGGAAGCCAAAGAAGCCGACAGAGCAGAAAAUUCUUAUCGAGAAGCACAAAGAUUCAAGGGGAAAGUUUUGCAGUCCAAGUCAUUAGCAAUGACAAGUCACAUAAACUUUACAUCCAGUAACAAAAGCUCAACUCACUUCACUGCAGCAAACCUGACGUGCUAUACAUCAAUCGCAUGGAGAAUUUUUUUAUCAAAUAACCAGCAUCUUGCUAUCGCUAUAGCAUACAGUCUCACAAUCUUGCCUGUUGCAUUAUUCAACGGGGCAUUGAGCUUGGCUCUUUACAAAACAGAACAGUGGAAAUCGAAAAUGAAGUUUCUAAUAUUUGUUUUGAGUUUAUCUGAUACUUUCACUGGGAUGGUUCAAAUACCAGCAGCCAUAAUUCUGGCAACAAGCCUGAAAUACACACGCUGCUGCUGGUUCGAGAUGGCGACUACAUUUACCAGUGUAACAAAUGUUCAUUUCUCGUACUACUUAUUGAUGGCUAUUGCAUUUCAAAGAUAUCUUAAGAUAACUGGCACAAUCAAAAUGCAGCCACAAUUAGGUCGCAUUUUCCUGUCCAAUAAAGGUACCCGAAUUACAGCAAUGCUCCUGUUUCCUCUUGCAAUACUACAUGGCCUUGUGGCAACCUAUUUCUUCGGUCACACGAAGUCAAACAUACCAAACAUGACUAUGAUGUGCCCUCGCAUUUUUACCUUUGCCGUAGUGUUUGCAGUUUACUUUCGACUUAACAUUACACUCAAAAAAGAGAGAAAGAGGGCACUACAGCAUGGCUUUAACAACAGAACACACACAAGAGCUUUCAAAAUAAUUGUCCUGGUACUCUUCAUUUACACGCUGUCCUACCUUCCGGCACUAGCAACUGACACAUGGACGGCCUAUUACUCUUACUUUCUCAAGUCAGCUGGACCCAUCGAAAUACGAUUUGCACACUUUCUUUCGUUUAGUUUCGCAUAUUUGAAUUGCGCUUUAAAUGCUAUAAUAUUUACUUAUACAGAUAAAACGGCAUGUAGAUACAUAUUUGAAUUAAUUCCAAAGUAUGAUCCUGGAGGACAAGAUAGCAACCAGCAAGGCAAAACAAAUUCUCUCGCAAUGGAGUCAACAUUUUUUAAAGAUCCAUCUGAGGUUAUUGAGCCCCCGCGGUGCUGAAAAGAAGUUUAAAACAAAACUGCAUUUAUAUUCCCUUCGUUUUCCGAGUAGAGUAUUGCAGAAGAAAGGCCUCAAGAGGGAAAGAUAAUAUGCAAGCCGUCAACGAAAAGGAGAAACAGUAAAAUUCGGUGUUCAGACACAAAUCAACGAAUAGUAAUAGGCUGACGAGCCGACGAGCCGACGAGCCGACGAAUGUAUCCUGGGUGUUAGAAGUUUGUCUGUGAUCACAUCUUAAAUAGAAAAUAUUUAUAAGUUAAUAUAAAGUAAAUAUCUGUCAAUCUAUUUUUUUCAUUCUGGUCGAUCAACUACAGCCGCUGGUAAUUUAUUUUUAUAUCUAAUUAAGUUUAAUGAUUAACAAGUACUUUAAUAAAAUGACUUUUAAUAGAGGAACAUUCUUACAUUCCCAUUUAGUAUUUCUGUUGUCUUAAAAAGGCCUGGAAUAUUUAUCUGUAUCUCGUUAAAAUGUUAUUUUGAAAAAAUAAUGUUAUGUUCACAAACAUCUAUCUUGAUCACUUACUUCUUUGAAUUAUAUUAUAGGGCAUAAUUCAACUUGAUUUAAUAAGAAAAAAAUAAGCAGGUUGCUUUAACAAAUUUACUAAUAUGGAAAAAUGAUGUGAGUUUGAGUGGUGUGCUUCUUAGUGCUAAGUUCGAGAAGAUCUUGAAUGUAAUAGAAUUGCAAAAACUAACCUCCUUAUAAAAUCCAAUACAGCAGUUAUGAGCGAAUCCUUUAUUCUGCCAAUCAUGUUUGUCUUCCAUGUUUCUAGUGCAAGCUUCAAGAAAAAAAGGAAAUUUGCAGUAUUUUCACAAGUGCAGAUAUCAGUCUUGAAUUAUUGGAAACCACCAUGGAACCCAAGCUCCAAGAAGGGAUGAGAGUGUAAAUCCUCCCUUUUAGUCUAUCUGGCAUCAAUUAUCUAAUGCUGCCAAUAAAUUCUAUAAUCAAUAAUAAUAAUCAAACCACAAUGACGACUUGAAAAACUAUACUUUCAGACUUUCAUGUUUUAUUUAAUAUGAUAUACAAUCUCACAAGAACAUGGAAAGAAAUCAGUCUGUUUUUGGUUCUUAUCUUUGGGUGUUAUUUUCCACAAAAUCAGUCUGUAAGUUCUUAUUUUCCUAUGUUAUUGUUUGCGGGGUUUUACUGUACUCACAGUUUUGGGACAGGUAUGGUGCUAAGGACGGAGGACUCAAGAAUGAGAGGGGACCGGCAAAUGCUGGUUUGGGGAAAACCGGAGCAAAGGGAACAGAGUCGGGGGCGUAUCGGAACCAAUUAUAGCGUCUCUACAGGGAGAGAGUGAAAAGUGACGUCCUCUUAAGAAUAUACUUUAAGGAAAUUUCCAUUUUGUACAUGUCAUUGUAUUGUGUAUGAUAAAACAUUCUAAUCUAACCAACACUUGCUGAGAUGCUCCCCAAUAUGUUACUUACUUUCUCUAUCAAGUACUUCACUAUAAAUUAGUCUUGACUCUAGCCUAGCAUUGCAAUGAACCAGGCAAAAGUUACAGUAAUUAUCCUUAAUUUCAGAUCUUUCAAUUGAUUUUACCACAGCAAAUUUGUAACUCGCAUCUUUAGAGGUAUUUCUCAGCACACUAUCAGAUGACAUGCAAGAGAUUAAAAAACUAAAAAAAGAUUCUACGAACAUACUUUCAUGACGUCAUCACUUUUAAACUCUAUUGCGCCUUUACAGAAGUUCAGUAAAAGGCGAAGCAAGAACAUGCGGUAAAUCCAGCAUUUGCUUACGCUGUCUCCAGUUAUUUAGAAAUGUCACCAAUACGAAUAAAAAUACUCACAUGGCCAAUUUCGAUGUUAUCAUCCGAUUGAGAGUGGGGGUAGAUGGUUGGAUGUUCGUAGAAGUCCGUCUUCUUUUUCUUACAAUAAAGCCCAUUUAAAUAUCUAGGAAUGAACAAAAGAAAUGGAUAAAAAAUACGUAAAAACACAAAUCAGAGUCUAAGUUAUCUAGCACAAGAGCGAAUAUAAGCUUCUAUAACUCGCAAAGUAUUGUGCAAUUGACUUUUGCAAUGCAAAAAUGAAACUUCUCAUGGUGUUUUUUUUAUGUUAACGAAAUUCAGCUAGAAAUUAUAGGAACUGUAUCUACUCGAGUUCGAUACCUAUGCAAGGCGCAUGUUUAAACGGGAGAAACUAAAAUUCAAUUAUCAGAGGUGAUUUAGUGAGAACAAAAUGCUGUCAUUAGCAUGAAAGAAUCAGUAGUGACACAUCUUUGAAUAUCUCUAUAGCAAGAGUUAUAUCUGCAAAGAGCAUAUGUUUAUAUCAAUCGUGAUUACUCCUCGACGCACAACUCUCUUUCUAUCAAUAGCCUAACGAAACCAUGAUGUUUGUCCGUACAAUGUUAAAUGAAAGACUACCACUACAAGAUCAACUGAUCGGGAGUGAAACUCAA
Molecule: non-coding RNA, 12502 nt
Organism: Rhopilema esculentum
Lineage: Eukaryota; Metazoa; Cnidaria; Scyphozoa; Rhizostomeae; Rhizostomatidae
Source: RefSeq, a predicted model, not a curated record